This 234-nucleotide ribosomal RNA is filed under the name uncultured bacterium. RNAcentral's name for it is "partial 16S ribosomal RNA". It matches the Rfam family "Bacterial small subunit ribosomal RNA", at positions 100 to 334 of the family's 1533-position model. The record is from RNAcentral.
GCACGGGUGCGUAACACGUAUAUAAUCUGCCCAUAACUGGGGGAUAGCCCGAAGAAAUUCGGAUUAAUACCCCAUAAUAUUAUUUGAAGGCAUCUUUAGAUAAUUAAAGCUCCGGCGGUUAUGGAUGAAUAUGCGACUGAUUAGCUAGUUGGUGAGGUAACGGCUCACCAAGGCAACGAUCAGUAGGGGUACUGAGAGGUUAAACCCCCACACUGGUACUGAGACACGGCCCAG